RNAcentral lists this ribosomal RNA (479 nucleotides) under uncultured bacterium. RNAcentral describes it as "partial 16S ribosomal RNA". It matches the Rfam family "Bacterial small subunit ribosomal RNA", at positions 28 to 507 of the family's 1533-position model. The record is from RNAcentral.
GAUGAACGCUGGCGGCGUGCUUAACACAUGCAAGUCGAGCGAAGCACUUUGGAAAGAUUCUUCGGAUGAUUUCCUUUGUGACUGAGCGGCGGACGGGUGAGUAACGCGUGGGUAACCUGCCUCAUACAGGGGGAUAACAGUUAGAAAUGACUGCUAAUACCGCAUAAGACCACGGUACCGCAUGGUACAGUGGUAAAAACUCCGGUGGUAUGAGAUGGAACCGCGUCUGAUUAGGUAGUUGGUGGGGUAACGGCCUACCAAGCCGACGAUCAGUAGCCGACCUGAGAGGGUGACCGGCCACAUUGGGACUGAGACACGGCCCAGACUCCUACGGGAGGCAGCAGUGGGGAAUAUUGCACAAUGGAGGAAACUCUGAUGCAGCGACGCCGCGUGAAGGAUGAAGUAUUUCGGUAUGUAAACUUCUAUCAGCAGGGAAGAAAAUGACGGUACCUGACUAAGAAGCCCCGGCUAACUACGUG